GGGGUUAGCACUGGAUCUUGGGCUGUGUCCCUGGAACCCUGUGCUCCCAGGUCUGAGCUGUUGGAAUCAUGCUCUGGGCCUCACAGGUCCCU
Molecule: microRNA precursor, 92 nt
Filed under: Canis lupus dingo (dingo)
Lineage: Eukaryota; Metazoa; Chordata; Mammalia; Carnivora; Canidae
Description: mir-8799 microRNA precursor family
Rfam family: mir-8799 microRNA precursor family
Source: Rfam by way of RNAcentral